GUUUCCAGUGGGCAUCAUAUUGAAUAAUAUUACGUCAGAACAGAGAGCUUGUAUCUAGUUUAACCAUCCGACUCACUAGCGUGCACAUCUCUCCAGGCCGGUUACUACUCACGAGGCACUGAUCUCGUGAUACGCAAUGAUUGAUGAGAUCUCCCGCUCCAAGUUCACGCAAAUUCACUCACAUGCACCAAGAAAAAUCAUUGGUCAUCGAUGCGCGGUACCAGCGUGACGUCACAGGGGACUGGAACAAGAUUGGUUCUCCGAUCAAACUGCUUUGAUCAAAUCCUACCUUUCUCCGUACAUCUGAUCUCGUCGGCGGAAAAAGAGAGGGGAGAGGGUGUGCUUUUACUCGAUGUUACAGAUUUUGCAGGCCGGAGACAGGGCUCAAUUAUUUUCUCUUCUCGGCAAGCUUAAUUAUAAGGUCUAUUAUAAAUACAGAUCCAUCUCAUUUGCGCGGCAUCAGACGUUUCCAACCUGCCGGGCUGUGUGUCUUAUAGUGUCCUGUGUUUCUUCCUUGUUUUCUAAUUAGCUUUCGACCAUGUAUUUCUCUCAAAGCCUGCUAUUCGUCUCGCUGGCUGCGAUGCUGAGCCAAGGGUGGUGCGGCUACGACGACCACUACGACCACCACGAGCCGGCCCACUACUCGUUCGCCUACUCGGUGAACGACCACCACACGGGCGACAUCCACUCGCAGCACGAGUCCGGCACGGCGACUCCGUCCACGGCUCCUACUCCCUCGUCGAGCCGGACGGGCACGUGAGGACCGUCAAGUACGAGGCCGACCACAAGCACGGCUUCAACGCCCACGUCAGCCGGAAGGAGUACCACCACGGCUACCACGCCCCCGCCCCGUCCACCACCACCACGAGAGCCACCACCCCACCGCCUACUUCCAUCUUCACUAGAGUUGAAGUCAUCUGUUCCCGGAUCAGGAGGACCUGUCGCGGGCAAUGCUACCCGAGAUGAAUCUUCGGUCAUGAGAGACACCAGCGGACUCAUUAUUGUUGAAAUUGAUAGACAAAGCGAUAGACAAAGAAGGCAUAAAGAGUACGGAGCGCUCCUAUUUGUUGAAUUCGCACUGGGAAAAAAAACGCUUGAAUCUCGAGUCCAGACUCUUGAAA
RNAcentral lists this long non-coding RNA (1121 nucleotides) under Bemisia tabaci. Its description in RNAcentral is "lncRNA ENSASIAIIG002605". The record is from RNAcentral. Lineage: Eukaryota; Metazoa; Arthropoda; Insecta; Hemiptera; Aleyrodidae.